This 468-nucleotide ribosomal RNA is filed under the name uncultured bacterium. Its description in RNAcentral is "partial 16S ribosomal RNA". It matches the Rfam family "Bacterial small subunit ribosomal RNA", at positions 28 to 507 of the family's 1533-position model. The record is from RNAcentral.
GACGAACGCUGGCGGCGUGCUUAACACAUGCAAGUCGAACGGAAAGGCCCUGCUUUUGUGGGGUGCUCGAGUGGCGAACGGGUGAGUAACACGUGAGUAACCUGCCCUUGACUUUGGGAUAACUUCAGGAAACUGGGGCUAAUACCGGAUAGGAGCUCCUGCUGCAUGGUGGGGGUUGGAAAGUUUCGGCGGUUGGGGAUGGACUCGCGGCUUAUCAGCUUGUUGGUGGGGUAGUGGCUUACCAAGGCUUUGACGGGUAGCCGGCCUGGGAGGGUGACCGGCGACAUUGGGCCUGAGAUACGGCCCAGACUCGUACGGGAGGCAGCAGGGGGGAAUAUUGCACAAUGGGCGGAAGCCUGAUGCAGCAACGCCGCGUGCGGGAUGACGGCCUUCGGGUUGUAAACCGCUUUCGCCUGUGACGAAGCGUGAGUGACGGUAAUGGGUAAAGAAGCACCGGCUAACUACGUG